This is a long non-coding RNA of Heterocephalus glaber (naked mole-rat), 3407 nucleotides long. The record is from Ensembl. NCBI's taxonomy places the organism in Eukaryota, Metazoa, Chordata, Mammalia, Rodentia, Bathyergidae.
UGAAGGCAGAGAGAAGAGGAAAGAAAUAGCCAGCUGUGCGCCAUCCCUGUCAGCACUUCUAGUGGCCUGCGGCCACACCCUCCCGAGGUACUCAGCCAGCUCUUCACUGGCAGCAGGGAAAAGCUGAGUCUCUCCAGUUCUUAGGCUCCAUAUCUAGAGGUAAAUGGCCCAGAGAUUUUUCUGAGGGCAUUCCUUAUUCUUCAUUUGAUGGCAUGAGCACCAAGAAGACAGGAGCCGAGAAACAUUACCAUUUUUGGAACAAAGUGACAAAGGAAAACAGAAAGAGACAGAAGGGCCCAUCCUUCGGGAAGAGCGCACUAGCGCGUGAGUUAGUGGCAGACCCACUCCAGGGUUCAGCGGAGACUGCAAUCCCCCGUGUUCCUGUGUCUCUGAGAUAUUCCACAUAAAUGAUUAACAGUGGAUCAACAGACUAAAAACAAAGCAUGUUUACAGCACUUCAUUUAUACUGCCUUGUUGCUUGACAAAAUUCCGUUAUGCUUCCUGUCGGUAGUGCCUGAGGACAUGAAAAGGUAUCAUUUUGAGUCUUGGAAAUGAUGAUGACUGUGUCCCCAGCCCAGGGCUGUGGCCUGAUUCAACGAAGUCAACCAUCACAUCUCAAGUCCCUCCAAUCAGAGCCAUGGGUCAGGCCUCCCCAAGAGCAAGUCUCAGCAAAUACCAAGGAAAGAAGGGGAUGAUCCAGAUACCUAGACCUGCACAUUGAGGAGCUGCGCCCUGCCUGCCAGGGGUGAGUGGGCCUUUGUUGAAAGAGAAGCUACAAGGAAGGACCUUUGGCCCCAGGAAGUUUCAGUUCAUGGUCAGCUGGCUCCAAAACAAGAAGAUCAUGGCAAAAGAGUGCAGAGGAGCAAAGCUGCUCACCUCAUGGUGGCCUGGAAGCAGAGAGCAGGGGAGGAGGCAGAGAGGAAGGAGCGCUGUUGGCAGUGGAAUUUCACAUGUGCGGCCUCAGAGUGCUGGCCCAGCGUGGCUCAGCACCAGCCCUAGAGUGGCCUGCAGAGUCCCUUCCACCCGAGGGGGUGGAGGAAGAAGUGGAAAGGUAUUUCCUGGUCAGCGGUGCCAACACAGGGGCCGCUGGUGCGAUGCUAGGAUGGCAUCUGGGAUCUGCUGCUCCUCUGGGAGGACACUGACCUGCGCGAGGCCUCUGCCAGCUCACAGAGCAGGUGGGUUUGUGCAAAGCCUUCUUCCGGUCUCACCCACCGGAACCACAUGGCAUGUGAGCCCUUCUCCAGCACGCUGCAGUUCCCUCUGGUUUUGCGCAUCCUUCCUGUCCAGAUUAAAGAGGAUUUAGCAAAGCCAUUUCACGUGAUUUUGCAGAUUUUUUUUCCCUUUGAGGACACAUUUUUAUUUUUGUAAUUUAACCUGACAAGAAGUGAAACAUUCUGAAUAAAACCUUGUCCCAAAAGACUUACGCCCCAGAUGGAAAAUAAAUGUCUAAAAUUUGAAUACAAUUCUUUAAGGUUAUUUAGGUAGUGUUAUAAAUACUACAAUACCAGCUAAUUGUACAAGUAUCAGCCUUUUAAUCUAAACUAAUCUGCCUUUUCCUCUCAAGUAUUAUUAUUCAAACUUGAUAAGCAUUUUUGGGCUCCAAGGAGUUUAAUUUGCUUUUAUAAUUAUUUGGCUAAACUACCGCCUUUACAAUAUCUACAUUAGCAAUACACUAUUUCCUUAUUAACUAUUUCAAGGUCUUGAAAUUGUUUUAUAUUUUAAAAUAAUAAUUUUUGUUGAUGUAACUAAUUAUGAUAGCAUUUUGCAAUAACAGCUAUUCAUUUUGCUCCAGCCGACUGGUAGAAUUUCAGUAUAAGAAUAAGAACAAUAGCCUAAGUGGAAUCUUUCUCCCACUUAUAUCUCCUUUGCUCUCUUGCAUUAAAAAGACAUGUUCAGGAGAAAGUCAUAAAUCAGUGUCACUCCCUGUUGGUGUGAGCCACAGACCCAUGAGUUGGAUGUCACCUGGAGGGUCCUGGAGUCGUGAAACACACGGACACAGGCAGGUGCUAGGGCCCAUGGGGAGCAGGAGUCAGAGACUGGUUCUUCCAAGGGCCAGCAGGUUAGGGGCCAGGUGGACAAGCCACACGGGCUGUCCCGAGGUCACCUGGUGGCCAGAGGGAACCAGGAUUCUUGCAGGCACCAUGAUGGUGAACUGGAAAAUCUGGGAGAUAAAAUUUAAAUCCCCACUCUGCCAUUUUCUGUGUGAUUUCACUAAGCUGAGUGAAACUCUCUACACUUGUGAUGGGGGAACAAUGCCCAUCUCACAGCGCUGUGAAGAGUCGAUGAGAAUACGGAAAGACAGUCGAAGCCGGACAGCAUAGCUGGGACCCUGGAGUUGGGUCAAAUCCCAGCUGUCCCCCCGGGGGUCACGGACUCGUCCAUCACGUGAUGUGAGGCUAUUCCAGGAGCCUCGGUGUCCUCAGUGCAUGAUGGGGACCUGAGCAGCACCCAGCAUGCUGGGCACGGAGUAAAGCUCAGAGCCAUCAGCUGGCAUCACACAGCGGACAGCUCCUCCCAGGGCAUCCCCUCGGCACUCAACGAGAGACCGCGAUUCUUGGCUAAGCGGGGCUGCUGGAGGAGAACAGGAAGCACACUGAGAGCAGCAGCAGGAGCUAUAAUCUGAGCUCAACUUUGUCACCAAGGAAAUUUGGCAGAGCAAACCCGACCUUUUCCCAGGGACCACUGUGAAUAAACAUACACAACACCCUCUGCAGAAACACACACACACACACACACACACACACACACACACAAACACACACACCUGGGAUGCAUGAAAGCAACAGGGGCUCUGUCCGGGUCUGUCCGCAAAGCAAUGAAACACGCAUGCCCGGAAAGCACGGGCUCCUAGCAAGAGCAGUUGUACUCCGGAUGUUUGCCACGCCCAGCGCCGAAAGUGCGGCACAACCUUGAGCUUAUGAUAACCUCGGAAGAGCAUCCGGGACAGACAGGCGUGCGUGGUUGCACUUGUUAAAUAUGUUUGUUAAGUAUUUUUGAUUCGGCCAACGGCUCUAUUUGAAGUCUGGCUCCUCUGCACUUGUUCAAGUCAGCUUCUUUUCUUUCCAACACCCUUCCCUGUCUGAAUCUCCCCUUGACAGUCUGAGGCCAAUCCCAAGGGGCUUGACACUCCCCUUCUCCGUGCCUCAGGAUGCUGCCCGAGAUGCUACGUGCAGGGGCCAGGGUGGGAGCGCUGGGAGGAGGGUAACGUGUGAGAUAGAGAAACUUCCCGCCUGGUCCUCUGCCCCAAAAGCGAUGGACCAUCUUCUAGAUUGGCAAAUAAUGAGGAAAGUUGGGUCCACUCUUCUGCAAGCAGCUGGAGUCACAGGGGCCGGCACUACAGCAAACCCUUGGUGAUCGGGUUAUGCCAAUGAGCUCCACGUGAAUUUCAAAAUCAGAGCACACAGUAU